GGGGGCUUGGUGAAACUGGCAGACACAAGAGCCUUAAAAGUUCUCGGGCGUAAGCCCAUCUGGGUUCGAACCCCAGAGCCCCCACCA
RNAcentral lists this transfer RNA (87 nucleotides) under Acidobacteriota bacterium. Its description in RNAcentral is "Acidobacteria bacterium (freshwater metagenome) tRNA-Leu". It matches the Rfam family "tRNA". Rfam says of the family: Transfer RNA (tRNA) molecules are approximately 80 nucleotides in length. Their secondary structure includes four short double-helical elements and three loops (D, anti-codon, and T loops). Further hydrogen bonds mediate the characteristic L-shaped molecular structure. tRNAs have two regions of fundamental functional importance: the anti-codon, which is responsible for specific mRNA codon recognition, and the 3' end, to which the tRNAs corresponding amino acid is attached (by aminoacyl-tRNA synthetases). tRNAs cope with the degeneracy of the genetic code in two manners: having more than one tRNA (with a specific anti-codon) for a particular amino acid; and 'wobble' base-pairing, i.e. permitting non-standard base-pairing at the 3rd anti-codon position. The record is from RNAcentral. Lineage: Bacteria; Pseudomonadati; Acidobacteriota.